CCUCUGUUGCAGUUUUCCGAGGGCGCAAUCACCGCAGCUGGUUGAACAAGAUGGCGGCGUUCGAGAAGGGCAAUUUGGGUGGGGAAAAGAAGGCAUUAAAUUGCGAGGGCGGCUUCCAGUCCAAUUGACGUGGUGGACAAUCCUGCCCCACCACC
Hippocampus comes (tiger tail seahorse) is the source of this 155-nucleotide long non-coding RNA. RefSeq lists it as uncharacterized. The transcript is spliced from 3 exons. NCBI's taxonomy places the organism in Eukaryota, Metazoa, Chordata, Actinopteri, Syngnathiformes, Syngnathidae. The record is from RefSeq and is a predicted model, not a curated record.